AAGAAUUUAGUUUAUUAAAACAUUAAUUUGUCAAAUUAAAAAUACUAAUAUGUAAUUCUUU
RNAcentral lists this transfer RNA (61 nucleotides) under Ghauriana sinensis. RNAcentral describes it as "tRNA-Asp". The record is from RNAcentral. Lineage: Eukaryota; Metazoa; Arthropoda; Insecta; Hemiptera; Cicadellidae.